Molecule: long non-coding RNA, 2528 nt
Organism: Triticum aestivum (bread wheat)
Lineage: Eukaryota; Viridiplantae; Streptophyta; Magnoliopsida; Poales; Poaceae
Exons: 2
Source: RefSeq, a predicted model, not a curated record
CAUAUCCCUUCGUCCUGUACGCCUCGAACUGAAUCAUGCUCGUCCCCCCGCUCCGCCGCCGGGCACCACAGGGCUUCUCCCACCACCGUCGGCCACCAUGACGCCAUGCUCCGUCCACUCUUGCUAGCCCCGACUACACACAACCUAUUCAGAUGCAGCGUGCGUGCCGAACCCGUUGCUCGGAUCAGAUCCAAAUGCUCGAUUGUACAAUGGGAGCCGAGACAAAUCUCUCCCCACCGCCGCUGGAGCUGGAGAUUCUACGCGGCGAGGAUCAGCGGUCGGAACUCGAUCUGCCUCCUCCAACUGUGGUGACAUGUGCAUUGGUGGUUCUCGGCCAACCCAGAGUUGUAAUCCGGCGGCAGCCCGUUCCUCAGGAAGUGCAGCACAUAUGGGUGAUCCGAGCUCUAUGUGGUUAGUUUAUCCUCUAAUAAUCUAAUAGUAGUAUUCAUUGUUCUCUGUUUGGCAAAUUCCUUCGGCGAGUCAUGGGUUAGUUUUGGACAGGGGCUGGAGUAUCAGAACUCCUAUGCUUGAUGUGCCCAAAAAUUUAAAACAGAAAGACAACUGAAGCUAUUCUCAGUAGUGAGCAACUCAAAUUAGAAAAUUUUAAAGGUUCGUUAUAAAUUAGUAUAUGCAUCGCUAUGCUAUUACACAAUUUCAUGACAUCUAGUAACUUGUAUCACAUCUAUUAAAUAGUAUCAAGCAGGCUGAGUACCUGUCUAAGCAUUGAUGUAUCAUAUAUCAUUUAUUUAUUUAUUCUUUCAAAGGACGCAAAGGAUUUGGCUUCUUGUGGUGGAGAUAGUUAUAGUACACCAAGGAAAACAAGUAGCACGCCGAUCCGUGUAAGUAUUAUUCAAUGUUCAGUGUAGAAGUACCAAAAUUUAGCUCACAAAUGAUAAUGGGUGGAAACUCUAGGUUUUAAUGGGUGGCGAUUUAGGCAAAAAAAACAAAAUGGCCAAUGCCAUAAGCAAAAGCUCUGACAACUUUUUUUAUGUGUUUGUGUGGCUACAUAAAUCAAGUAAUCAUUCACCCUUUUAUGAUUUUUUUUCUUGGAAUCAAACUUGCUGCUACAGAUCAGGCUAUUCUCCUAGACAUGUAUUGCCCUUUUUAGGAGUUUUCCCUUAUUUGUGGGAUUCACAGGCUAUUGUAUUCGUUACGAGAAUGUUGUGUGGCAACCUGAAGGCUGCAGGAUACAAAUGUUUCCAACUAUUAAUUUUUUAGAAGGUAAUUGUUGGGGGUUGAUUUCAACCUGGAUUAGGAUGUUAAUCCAUUACGACAUACAGGUUGUGUAAGACUCUUUGCGACCUAUUGAACUUAUGAAUGGGAAAGGAAGGUGAUUUGGCUUCUGUAGCAAAUCUGUCAACUAUGAAUCUACAUCCGGCAAUUGUGAGUAUCUGUUCGCUCUGUGGUUUGUUGGUGUCCAGUGCACAUGUUAAUGGUGACUCUUGCGGGGCAAAAAAAUUAGAUGCAUUUAUGAUCGACGGGUAUGCAGCCAAAUCAGAACUAGUGGCUCCUAUCAUGUGACGAAUGCGUUUGGAAAGAACUUCAGGAAGGAGCUAUGUACAAGUGUACAAAUGAGUUUUGCUCAGGCAGAAAGCAAAAUCGAAGAAGGUAUGCACCAGGGUUUUUAGAUUGAUAUUCUGUAAUCAUAAAUAUCAUGUUGUUCCAUUAGAACUGCAGACCUUUUUCUGAAAGGAUGUCAUGUUGUGAACAACAACCUUUUGUAUCUACGACGAAAUUUUGCUAUCUACACUUACUUGCAACAGAUGGAUAAUUUUCUCUCAAUUUCCUCGCGGUGGAUCUUCUUUUUCUUUCAUUGUGCAGCACCAGCAACUUCCGGUGUAACUACCACUGUCAGUUUCCUCGAUCACUUUCCUAGCAGCCACCACGGACAUGACCAAGCUGUUACGAAGAAGAUGAAAAACCUGGGCCUAGGCGGCGAGGGGGAGCUCGUGAAGCCAAUGGGACCUGAGAGCAUCUGUAAGACCAGGUUAUGUGUGAGCUUUGUCGCCGGCAGGUCGUGCGCCUUCGGCGGCAGAUGCCCCUUGGCCCAUGAGAAAGUUGAAUUGUGCAAUCCUGCUGCAUCUCGAGAAGUCGAAGAUCAAGUGAUUCUCAUGGUGUUCAUGAUGGUCGUGCAUCUUUUAUUUUGCAGAAAUGCCUAAACAAAAACUUCUCUUGUCUAUUCUUGUUGUAAUAGGUGUGUUGAUGAAGAUCAACUUUUCUUGUCUAUUCUUAUCCAUUUCUUCUUCCGUUCAAUCAAUUCAUGAUAGGCAAGACAUCAAAAAUGGAGUGAACAGAAACUCAGUAUCAAUGAAGGCAUGGUAGACGCCAUUGUCCAAGAUAUUAAUAUUAGAGCAUCAAUGUUUUUAUCUUGGAAGUUCAAGCCUGUAAGUCGCUGGACUAAUGAGGCAGCCCAUGUUUUUGGCAAAAUCUGUUGAGAAGUCAGAAGAUCUGUGUACCUGAUGUUGUCAGGACACUGUUUGUAACGAUGAGAUUAUGAAUGAAAUGAAAGGGUGCCCUAGGUUUAUUUC